CGCGUCCUGGAGCACCCGACGAAGUCGCUGGCUCUCGGCCUCCACCUCUCGACGCCUCUUCCUCAAGACCUCGGAUUUCGCCUCCGCGUCCGCGACGGCCCGCUGCUCGUAUGCCAGUUGAAUCUUCAGUUGUUGCAGCUCGGCUGUCUGUUCCCCGAGGGCGACUGAAAUCCCUUCAACGGUUCCUCUUAGGGACUGGAGCUCAUCAGAAUCUCGGGCGGA
Molecule: long non-coding RNA, 222 nt
Filed under: Elaeis guineensis (African oil palm)
Lineage: Eukaryota; Viridiplantae; Streptophyta; Magnoliopsida; Arecales; Arecaceae
Description: long non-coding RNA (EGUI_LNC081356)
Source: RNAcentral